GCUUCUACUUACCCUCUUUAUCUCUCGCUCAGCUCAGUCUUCCACUCUGUCUCUAUAAAGCACUUUAUGUUUUCCUUUUUACAUUUUUCUAUUUCUAUAUAGUCCAUUUAUUUUUCUAAUAUUUUCGCACAGAUAUAUGUCUCACCUAGAGUCCUGUAGUGUAGUGGAUAAAGCAUUUGUCUCGCAAGCAAGGGGUCCUGGCUUCGAUUCCUGAAGGGGGCAGACCUUGAUCCUCUAAUCCGCCCUCCAAAUCCUGGGAAGAUGUAUGUUCCAAGUUUUCUCCGAUGGCUACAAAUGACAAAUGACCCCAUAUAAGAGAGACAACGCUAGAACAACUUGCAUAUAUAGAGCACCCUUCACGUGAGGUAACGUCCUGGAGCGCUUGACAGAGGCGGAGUCUGAUCCCGAGCCAGGGGAGUCUGAACCCAAGCCAGACUAGGUUGACUUCUCGAUCCCAGCCAUGCCACUCUGGAAAAGAUGAAACAUUGACAAGCUAAAUUGUAGGGUUGGCAGUGGGUUAGCAGUAGGCGAUUCACAUCUCCCAGCUAUAACAGAUGAGCCUGUGCAGCUCAAGCAAGGUAGAAGGUUAGGGAAAUAGAGAAACAUAUCCAUGAAAGGAUACAUUCACUUAAGAAGACAUAUUGUACUAUCUCAUUUUAAUCAGUAACAGCAUAAGACGAUUGAUAUAAAUAAUAUUCUCCUUUAUUCCAAUUAGUUCAGUCAUGGGUCUUUUAUGUUAUUACCCAGAUCAACAACAACAACUUGCAAUUAACAAUGACAUAGUUUGAUGCCAAUACAGUAUAGAAUAAUAAGAACAGGUUUAUUAGCAGAAUGAUAUGCAACACAAAUCCCAUUAAUUUGAUCCUGAUGUUAACAAUCCUCCUGCAAAUAAAUGUAUUUCAAGAGCACUCC
This is a long non-coding RNA of Callorhinchus milii (elephant shark), 912 nucleotides long. RefSeq lists it as uncharacterized. The transcript is spliced from 3 exons. The record is from RefSeq and is a predicted model, not a curated record. NCBI's taxonomy places the organism in Eukaryota, Metazoa, Chordata, Chondrichthyes, Chimaeriformes, Callorhinchidae.